This 496-nucleotide ribosomal RNA is filed under the name uncultured bacterium. Its description in RNAcentral is "partial 16S ribosomal RNA". It matches the Rfam family "Bacterial small subunit ribosomal RNA", at positions 29 to 507 of the family's 1533-position model. The record is from RNAcentral.
AUGAACGCUGGCGGCGUGCCUCAUCCAUGCCAGUCGAGCGAACAGACGAGGAGCUUGCUCCUCUGACGUUAGCGGCGGACGGGUGAGUAACACGUGGAUAACCUACCUAUAAGACUGGGAUAACUUCGGGAAACCGGAGCUAAUACCGGAUAAUAUAUUGAACCGCAUGGUUCAAUAGUGAAAGACGGUUUUGCUGUCACUUAUAGAUGGGUCCGCGCCGCAUUAGCUAGUUGGUAAGGUAACGGCUUACCAAGGCAACGAUGCGUAGCCGACCUGAGAGGGUGAUCGGCCACACUGGAACUGAGACACGGUCCAGACUCCUACGGGAGGCAGCAGUAGGGAAUCUUCCGCAAUGGGCGAAAGCCUGACGGAGCAACGCCGCGUGAGUGAUGAAGGUCUUCGGAUCGUAAAACUCUGUUAUUAGGGAAGAACAAAUGUGUAAGUAACUAUGCACGUCUUGACGGUACCUAAUCAGAAAGCCACGGCUAACUACGUG